This 91-nucleotide ribosomal RNA is filed under the name Puccinellia fasciculata. RNAcentral's name for it is "partial 26S ribosomal RNA". It matches the Rfam family "Eukaryotic large subunit ribosomal RNA", at positions 1 to 90 of the family's 3401-position model. RNAcentral also lists the same sequence under 1 other name. The record is from RNAcentral. Lineage: Eukaryota; Viridiplantae; Streptophyta; Magnoliopsida; Poales; Poaceae.
GCGACCCCAGGUCAGGCGGGACUACCCGCUGAGUUUAAGCAUAUAAAUAAGCGGAGGAGAAGAAACUUACAAGGAUUCCCCUAGUAACGGC